AAAAUUGCAGCUCGCAACAUGCGUAUUCCACCGCCAUUCACCACAGCUCCGGAAAAAAUUUCUUGAUUUUGCCUGUGUAAAAUGGAGGGGGGCGGAGAACGCGUGGGGUAGGAAACCGGAGGAAAUGGGAACGGGAGAGGGCGCUUUUGUAGUGUAGUGAGAGAGGAGAGGAAGAAAGGAAGAUGACGUGCGAACAACCUUGGAGAAGAGAAGAGAAGAGAAUGAGGAUGUGAUUGUGCUUCGAC
Molecule: long non-coding RNA, 245 nt
Filed under: Salvia miltiorrhiza (redroot sage)
Lineage: Eukaryota; Viridiplantae; Streptophyta; Magnoliopsida; Lamiales; Lamiaceae
Description: long non-coding RNA (SMIL_LNC002235)
Source: RNAcentral